Molecule: ribosomal RNA, 253 nt
Filed under: uncultured bacterium
Lineage: Bacteria
Description: partial 16S ribosomal RNA
Rfam family: Bacterial small subunit ribosomal RNA
Source: RNAcentral
UACGUAGGGUCCGAGCGUUGUCCGGAAUUACUGGGCGUAAAGAGCUCGUAGGUGGUUUGUCGCGUUGUUCGUGAAAACUCACAGCUCAACUGUGGGCGUGCGGGCGAUACGGGCAGACUGGAGUACUGCAGGGGAGACUGGAAUUCCUGGUGUAGCGGUGGAAUGCGCAGAUAUCAGGAGGAACACCGGUGGCGAAGGCGGGUCUCUGGGCAAUAACUGACGCUGAGGAGCGAAAGCGUGGGGAGCGAACAGG